RNAcentral lists this ribosomal RNA (117 nucleotides) under uncultured bacterium. Its description in RNAcentral is "partial 16S ribosomal RNA". It matches the Rfam family "Bacterial small subunit ribosomal RNA", at positions 1357 to 1482 of the family's 1533-position model. The record is from RNAcentral.
CUACGGUGAAUACGUUCCCGGACCUUGUACACACCGCCCGUCAAGUCAUGGAAGCUGGGUGUACCUAAAGUCGAUAACCGUAAGGAGUCGCCUAGGGUAAAACUAGUAACUGGGGCU